Small nuclear RNA from Trichechus manatus latirostris (Florida manatee), 107 nucleotides. NCBI's taxonomy places the organism in Eukaryota, Metazoa, Chordata, Mammalia, Sirenia, Trichechidae. The record is from RefSeq and is a predicted model, not a curated record.
GUGCUCACUUCAGCAGCACAUACACUAAAACUGGAACAAUACAGAGAAGAUUAGCAUGGCCUCUGCACAAAGAUGACAUGCAAAUUUGUGAAGCGUCCCAAAUUUUU